GCUGAACUUAAGCAUAUCAA
RNAcentral lists this ribosomal RNA (20 nucleotides) under Fusarium sp. NR-2006-A1. RNAcentral describes it as "partial 28S ribosomal RNA". Lineage: Eukaryota; Fungi; Ascomycota; Sordariomycetes; Hypocreales; Nectriaceae. The record is from RNAcentral.